RNAcentral lists this ribosomal RNA (325 nucleotides) under bacterium ocnta403lb834offnp11.19. RNAcentral's name for it is "bacterial SSU rRNA". It matches the Rfam family "Bacterial small subunit ribosomal RNA", at positions 49 to 378 of the family's 1533-position model. The record is from RNAcentral.
CUACACAUGCAGUCGAGCGGUAGAGAGAGCUUGCUUCUCUUGAGAGCGGCGGACGGGUGAGUAAUGCCUAGGAAUCUGCCUAGUGGUGGGGGAUAACGUUCGGAAACGGACGCUAAUACCGCAUACGUCCUACGGGAGAAAGCGGGGGACCUUCGGGCCUCGCGCCAUUAGAUGAGCCUAGGUCGGAUUAGCUAGUUGGUGAGGUAAUGGCUCACCAAGGCUACGAUCCGUAACUGGUCUGAGAGGAUGAUCAGUCACACUGGAACUGAGACACGGUCCAGACUCCUACGGGAGGCAGCAGUGGGGAAUAUUGGACAAUGGGCGA